Long non-coding RNA from Equus caballus (horse), 3845 nucleotides. NCBI's taxonomy places the organism in Eukaryota, Metazoa, Chordata, Mammalia, Perissodactyla, Equidae. The record is from Ensembl.
GCGCGGGCACUAUAUCUCCCGGCGGAGGAGCACACGGCAGCUCUCGGCACACGCCCCACAACGCGCUCUGUAGCCGGCUGCUUAGUUGGCGCUGCUGAGGCUUCUUUCCUCGGUCAGUUUGACAAGGGCGCUCUGAUAGGCCAGCGAGACCCUGCAGUGGUUGGCCGGAAAGCGUCGAGCCGCCUGAUUGGCCGCGCCGCACCUGCAAUGCGUCAAGCCGCGGCGGGCGUGGAGGGCUCCGCGUGAAUGGCCGUGGCCGGCGGGGCAGGGAGCGGCUCCGCCUAGGGCCGCCAUCUUUACUAGUGGCAGCGCGGACCACCCUGGACGCACAGGGGCUUUUCACGGCGCUCUCGGGCCAAUAGAAAAAGGGUCUAUCACAGGAGUUUUGUUUGGGGUUCCUUUGCCCUUUCUACUUUGCGGUGGGUGGCUUUGGUUUUGCUCUGGCCCCAGGGACGCGGUGCGGGGAGACUGCGAGGGCUCGCGGCUCGGAGUUCAGGGCAGAGGGACCCCAGGGCGGAGAGGGCGUGACUGGAGUUUUAGCUGCCGCUGCAGUAAAACCACCCGGUUUGCGUGCUCUCGGCGUGCGCUGGGAGGGACACUUGAUUCCUCUCAAUUUCCAGAAGCGGCAGUGAGGUUUGCUUCCUGGGCAUGUUGCUCUCGCAGGAAAGCAAUUCUGGAAAGCUCUCUUGAAUACGUCAUGCUUGUUGCUCACGCCGUGCGCGGUCCCGCCCGCACGGACUGCGGUUUUGCUGUUGAGAAGUGUAAAUCAAACGGCCCUCUUGGGAACAAGUUCUCGGCUCCAGAGACAGUGGCCUGCAGGGGCAAAACUGCAGUGCUGGGAGUCGCCACUUUGCUUGCUGUGUGAAGUACAGCAAAGGACUGAAUCUUCUGGAGCCUCGAUUUCUUCUCCAGUAUGAAGAGAAUCAAAUCUAUCUCAGAGUCCUUGUGAGGAUUGCAUGAGACAUGAGUGUGCCAGCACUGUGUAAAUUGUGGAACUAUUGACGUAAUGAUAUUCAGUUACUAAAGCAUUAUUGAGUCCCCGUAACUGUCUGACCUUGUGAGAGGAAGAUUUUCUUUCGAGAGUUUUCUACUUUGUGGGAAGAACAGAUGGCCAAACUCAGAUCCAAAAUAAACUUUAAAUGGCAUAGUUCCUUCUUAAUUGAAGGCGUAGUAUUACAGAGCCUUAUUAGCAUGCAGUGCCAGAUUUGAGGGCUCUCAGGGUGACUAGCUCAUCACAGUUUGCCUUGGACUUUCGUGGUUUUAGUAUCCAAGGCCCGUGUCCUAGAAAGGCCCUCUGUCCCAGGCAGACUGGGACACUUGGUCACCUUUGUACUGUUUUCAGUGCUGCAAAAUGGGAAGAUGAACAGAAUGGGAAGUGAAGAUCCCACCAUGUAGAAGCAAUUAGGUUUCCUUGCAGCUGGAGGCUACUGGGCACAAGAAAAUGGAUGUCCUUGUGCCCGUAUGAUAAGUGUGGGCUGACACCUGAAACUCAGCACGUCCGAAGUCACACUGAUGAUUUUAUUUAUCUUUAUGGUUCUUCCUUCUCUCAGUUCCUGCACAUUUUAAAAAUUUCUUGUUUAAUUCUGAUCUUUAUCUCUGGUGAAAGCUUUACUGAGCUUUUAGUCACUUUAGAGUGCACAAGUUUUCUUUUAUGCCAUGGACCCCUUUGCCAGUCUGAUGAAGCCUAAUACUGCUAUAGUUUGUUGUCCAUAUUCAUAGUUGAAGACAUGCUACAUUUCACUUAGAGGUUAGUGAAAAUAAAGAUCGUCUACUUUGCCAUCCAAGUUCAUGGACCCUCUGAAUUGUCUCCAUGAGUCCAUGUUGAGAACCUCUGCUCCUUCUCCAUUGCCCCAAUGCAGUUCUCUUUCCACUGUCCCCUUUUACGUUCCCACUGCCACCACCAUGGUUCAAGACACUGUUGCUGUUUUCCUAACUGUUGCAGACUGGUCUCCCACCCCUAGUUCCAUCUUAUGCCCAGCUGAUGGAGUAGUUUUUCUAAAGCAUGCAUCUGACUGUAUAAUUUCCCACCUCAAACCUCCCAUGGCUUCCCAUGGCCUCUGGGAUUAAGUCCAGAUUCCUUAGGAGUUCCUUUAGGGCCCUCCAUAAUCUGGCCUUUUUACUUCUAAUCACCUACUCCCGUUUACAUCUCCUAAGUUUCAGCCACAUGAAUUGUUCCUCAAUCUUUGUGUUUUUUCUCCCUCCAUCCGUUAUCCACGUUGCUCUCUUGACCUAGAUUUCUGAUUUCUACCAUCUCUGCCUGACAAAGUUCUAAUACCCUUAAAGGCUUACUUCAAAUGUGAAAUCAGCUAAAAUAACCUGUUCCUAUGCUGGACUCUCUUAGCACUUUAUUUCAUCCUAUUCUGUUACCACAUUCUACUUUUAUUAUGAGUAUUUAAUACUUAUUCCAUAAAUACUUGUCAAGUACCUGUUGUCAGUGUGGCCCUGUUCUAGGGUCCGUGGGGAUAUAAAAUGAAACCGAUUUGGAUCUUGGUUUUCAAAGGACUUAAUUUUAGGUUGGGGGAUAAUGUGAACCUAAGUAACAUUGUUUUCAAGGUGGAAGAAAAGAAGUAUUUCAAGAGUCCAGAGGGAGAACUCACUCUGCUAGAGGGAUCCGAGAAGGCUUUGUGGAGGAGGUGGCGUCCAAGCUAGCUUGGAGGAUCAGCAGCCUGUGUGGAUGCACACGGGGAAGGCAUUCCACCCAGAGGGAAUACCACGAACAAAGAGAGGAGACUGAAAGGAGCAGGGUGUGUUGGCAAAGGGGAAGUUUUGUCUGUUAAUAAGGGGCCUCAUGGAAGACCGGACUGGUGUCAGGUUUGUUAAGGCUGCCUAGAGAAUGGCCACAUGUUCCAGGCAAGAAGAUAAGACUGUCCUGUACGCAUGGAAUCCAUUGACAGGUUUCAACAAGCGACUGAAAAAAUUAAGCUGAAAAGUGAUGAGAAUGGAUGGUUUUCCAAUGCAACUUGGAUGAGUGUUUGUGGAAUUCUCUCCUUCCACCCCCUGCUGACGCACCUUAGCAUUUCUCUUCUGUCACAUAAAGGAUCCAAAAACACAGAACUUCUGUUCACAAUGAACACGGGGGAGUUAGACAGUAGGAAACAUUUUUCAACUCUUUCAAAACUGUAACUUUAAAAUAUUGCAAAUGAAAGACCAAGGGAAACAGACUGCUUCCCAAGUGAAUUGUGGAAUUUGUGUCUAAUUAACUUUCUUUUGUCCAAAACAGAUCCAAAUAAAGUUAUUUUGCCUCCCUUCCCACUAAUAUAAUUUGAGACACUGAAAUAUUCUAAGGAUUGCUUUUGAUGGGCAUCCUGAAAUUUUAUUUGGGGCAAAAAUGGUAAUUCUUCUGUUUAAGGUUGCUGAUUUCAUGAAGCUUUUCAAACCGUGCUCUGUUUCCCACUGGUUUUCAAUUUGUUUGCAAUAUGCUUCAGUGUUUGUGGAGGUUUUAAUCCCUUUCCAGCUGAAACGUGAUUAUUAUAGUACAGUAGAAGGCAGCAUUUGGACAUGGCUGAUGGUGCAAGCACUUGCUGUAAUUAAUUUUCAUCGGUAUGGAUCCUUACAGCUGAAUCAAACAGCAGCAGCCCAUAUCAAUCGUAGAGAAAUAUAGGGGGAUUCUCUCCAAACCGUUUUAGCUUCUUGGGGCUCCAUUUUUUAGCUGAAUAGUGACGUGGGCUGAGAUUACCUCCUUCCUGCUGCCUCCUGGAAGGUUAAUGCUUUCUCGCAUCAUCUCAUGAUUUAAUUAUCAGACCCCGUUUCUUUAGAAUUCUCUCUCCUCUUGUUUGGCUAAGUCCUAUUAUUGACUUCCAGGAAACAGUUUAAAGUAUUAUUUCCACGUUGAGCCCAAUCAAGAC